GUGGCGGACGGGUGAGGAACGCGUGAGAACCUGCCUCAAGGUCGGGGACAACAGUUGGAAACGACUGCUAAUACCGGAUGAGCCUUCGGGUAAAAGAUUUAUCGCCUAGAGAGGGGCUCGCGUCUGAUUAGCUAGAUGGUGAGGUAAAGGCUUACCAUGGCGACGAUCAGUAGCUGGUCUGAGAGGAUGAGCAGCCACACUGGGACUGAGACACGGCCCAGACUCCUACGGGAGGCAGCAGUGGGGAAUUUUCCGCAAUGGGCGAAAGCCUGACGGAGCAAUACCGCGUGAGGGAGGAAGGCUCUUGGGUUGUAAACCUCAAAACUUAGGGAAGAAAAAAAUGACGGUACCUAAUGUAAGCAUCGGCUAACUCCGUGCCAGCAGCCGCGGUAAUACGGAGGAUGCAAGCGUUAUCCGGAAUCAUUGGGCGUAAAGAGUCCGUAGGUGGCACUUCAAGUCUGCUUUCAAAGACCGAAGCUCAACUUCGGAAAGGGAGUGGAAACUGAAGAGCUAGAGUAUAGUAGGGGUAGAGGGAAUUCCUAGUGUAGCGGUGAAAUGCGUAGAGAUUAGGAAGAACACCAGUGGCGAAGGCGCUCUACUGGGCAUAUACUGACACUGAGGGACCAAAGCUAGGGGAGCGAAAGGGAUUAGAUACCCCUGUAGUCCUA
This 668-nucleotide ribosomal RNA is filed under the name uncultured Chroococcales cyanobacterium. Its description in RNAcentral is "bacterial SSU rRNA". It matches the Rfam family "Bacterial small subunit ribosomal RNA", at positions 95 to 798 of the family's 1533-position model. The record is from RNAcentral. Lineage: Bacteria; Bacillati; Cyanobacteriota; Cyanophyceae; Chroococcales.